UCUUUGGACUGGAUGCUGACAGGUGAAGGC
Molecule: non-coding RNA, 30 nt
Filed under: Rattus norvegicus (Norway rat)
Lineage: Eukaryota; Metazoa; Chordata; Mammalia; Rodentia; Muridae
Source: RNAcentral